CUACGUAGGGGGCGAGCGUUGUCCGGAAUGAUUGGGCGUAAAGGGCGCGUAGGCGGCCCGGUAAGUCUGGAGUGAAAGUCCUGUUUUUAAGAUGGGAAUUGCUUUGGAUACUGUCGGGCUUGAGUGCAGGAGAGGUAAGUGGAAUUCCCAGUGUAGCGGUGAAAUGCGUAGAGAUUGGGAGGAACACCAGUGGCGAAGGCGACUUACUGGACUGUAACUGACGCUGAGGCGCGAAAGUGUGGGGAGCAAACAGGAUUAGAUACCCUGGUAGUCCACACUGUAAACGAUGAAUGCUAGGUGUAGGGGGUAUCGACCCCUUCUGUGCCGCAGUCAACACAAUAAGCAUUCCGCCUGGGGAGUACGGCCGCAAGGUUGAAACUUAAAGGAAUUGACGGGG
This 397-nucleotide ribosomal RNA is filed under the name uncultured bacterium. Its description in RNAcentral is "partial 16S ribosomal RNA". It matches the Rfam family "Bacterial small subunit ribosomal RNA", at positions 523 to 918 of the family's 1533-position model. The record is from RNAcentral.